AGCAGUAGCCGCGGUAAUACGUAGGUCCCGAGCGUUGUCCGGAUUUAUUGGGCGUAAAGCGAGCGCAGGCGGUUAGAUAAGUCUGAAGUUAAAGGCUGUGGCUUAACCAUAGUACGCUUUGGAAACUGUUUAACUUGAGUGCAAGAGGGGAGAGUGGAAUUCCAUGUGUAGCGGUGAAAUGCGUAGAUAUAUGGAGGAACACCGGUGGCGAAAGCGGCUCUCUGGCUUGUAACUGACGCUGAGGCUCGAAAGCGUGGGGAGCAAACAGGAUUAGAACCCGAGUAGUCCCUGUCUCUUAUACAC
RNAcentral lists this ribosomal RNA (303 nucleotides) under uncultured bacterium. RNAcentral describes it as "partial 16S ribosomal RNA". It matches the Rfam family "Bacterial small subunit ribosomal RNA", at positions 507 to 809 of the family's 1533-position model. The record is from RNAcentral.